UACGUAGGGUGCGAGCGUUGUCCGGAAUUAUUGGGCGUAAAGCGCUCGUAGGCGGUGUGUCGCGUCGGCCGUGAAAACCUGCAGCUUAACUGUGGGCUUGCAGUCGAUACGGGCAGGCUGGAGUUCGGUAGGGGAGACUGGAAUUCCUGGUGUAGCGGUGAAAUGCGCAGAUAUCAGGAGGAACACCGGUGGCGAAGGCGGGUCUCUGGGCCGAUACUGACGCUGAGGAGCGAAAGCGUGGGGAGCGAACAGG
RNAcentral lists this ribosomal RNA (253 nucleotides) under uncultured bacterium. Its description in RNAcentral is "partial 16S ribosomal RNA". It matches the Rfam family "Bacterial small subunit ribosomal RNA", at positions 524 to 776 of the family's 1533-position model. The record is from RNAcentral.